RNAcentral lists this unclassified non-coding RNA (201 nucleotides) under Hevea brasiliensis (rubber tree). Lineage: Eukaryota; Viridiplantae; Streptophyta; Magnoliopsida; Malpighiales; Euphorbiaceae. The record is from RNAcentral.
UUUAGGUCACUUUUUGGACAGAAUUUGAGCUUGGUAUCUUCAUGAAAAAUGGAGCAUUUUAGAUCUAGUUUCAUCUCCAAUUGGUAAUUGGACUCAUACCAAUUGGAGCAACAAAAUUUCAAUUAUAGCCAUGUGAAUGAGCAAGGUUCAAGCUAUCUAGAUAUGGACAUUACCACAUUCACACUUCAAUUCAAUUCCAUG